AAUGGAAUAGAAGCGCCUGGACUAAUUCCGAUCGGAUAGAGGGGAUUAGUUGACGAGGAGGAGGUUUAUCGAUCAAUCGGCGGAUGCCUCCCGGUUAAAGCAAACCGUCAUCUCUUCUUUAAAGCAUUAGGGUAACUUAAUGGACAAAGAGUAGGGAAUGCUAAUUU
This 167-nucleotide non-coding RNA is filed under the name Bacillus sp. (in: firmicutes). RNAcentral's name for it is "Bacillus sp. GlcN6P sequence". It matches the Rfam family "glmS glucosamine-6-phosphate activated ribozyme aptamer". From Rfam's summary of the family: This entry contains a glucosamine-6-phosphate activated ribozyme that is found in the mRNA for GlmS. Lineage: Bacteria; Bacillati; Bacillota; Bacilli; Caryophanales; Bacillaceae. RNAcentral also lists the same sequence under 1 other name. The record is from RNAcentral.